UCUUCAUUCUGCACUCUCUCUCUCUCACCGGUCAGAGAGGCGAGAGAGUGUGCGAAAUGAAGAGA
RNAcentral lists this microRNA precursor (65 nucleotides) under Pristionchus pacificus. Its description in RNAcentral is "mir-8364 microRNA precursor family". It matches the Rfam family "mir-8364 microRNA precursor family". Lineage: Eukaryota; Metazoa; Nematoda; Chromadorea; Rhabditida; Neodiplogasteridae. The record is from Rfam by way of RNAcentral.